This 443-nucleotide ribosomal RNA is filed under the name uncultured bacterium. Its description in RNAcentral is "partial 16S ribosomal RNA". It matches the Rfam family "Bacterial small subunit ribosomal RNA", at positions 338 to 795 of the family's 1533-position model. The record is from RNAcentral.
CCUACGGGUGGCAGCAGUGGGGAAUAUUGGGCAAUGGGCGCAAGCCUGACCCAGCAACGCCGCGUGAAGGAAGAAGGCUUUCGGGUUGUAAACUUCUUUUGUCAGGGACGAAGCAAGUGACGGUACCUGACGAAUAAGACACGGCUAACUACGUGCCAGCAGCCGCGGUAAUACGUAGGGGGCAAGUGUUAUCCGGAUUGAUUGGGUGUAAAGGGCGUGUAGGUGGGAAUGUAAGUCAGAUGGGAAAACUAUGGGCUCAACCCAUAGCCUGCAUUGGAAACUGUAUUUCUUGAGUGCUGGAGAGGCAAGCGGAAUUCCGGGUGUAGCGGUGAAAUGCGUAGAUAUACGGAGGAACACCAAUGGCGAAGACAGAUUACUGGACAGUAACUGACGCUGAGGCGCGAAAGCGUGGGGAGCAAACAGGAUUAGAUACCCCGGUAGUC